GACGAACGCUGGCGGCGUGCUUAACACAUGCAAGUCGAACGGAAAGGCCCUGCUUUUGUGGGGUGCUCGAUUGGCGAACGGGUGAGUAACACGUGAGUAACCUGCCCUUGACUUUGGGAUAACUUCAGGAAACUGGGGCUAAUACCGGAUAGGAGCUCCUGCUGCACGGUGGGGGUUGGAAAGUUUCGGCGGUUGGGGAUGGACUCGCGGCUUAUCAGCUUGUUUGUGGGGUAGUGGCUUACCAAGGCUUUGACGGGUAGCCGGCCUGAGAGGGUGACCGGCCACAUUGGGACUGCGAUACGGCCCAGACUCCUACGGGAGGCAGCAGUGGGGAAUAUUGCACAAUGGGCGGAAGCCUGAUGCAGCAACGCCGCGUGCGGGAUGACGGCCUUCGGGUUGUAAACCGCUUUCGCCUGUGACGAAGCGUGAGUGACGGUAAUGGGUAAAGAAGCACCGGCUAACUACGUG
Molecule: ribosomal RNA, 468 nt
Filed under: uncultured bacterium
Lineage: Bacteria
Description: partial 16S ribosomal RNA
Rfam family: Bacterial small subunit ribosomal RNA
Source: RNAcentral